UCACAAGGAUGGCUUCGGCUUCCUGAUUCCUGACGACGGCGGCAGCGAUCUGUUCCUGACGGCGCGCCAGAUGCGCCAGGU
RNAcentral lists this transfer RNA (81 nucleotides) under Prymnesium neolepis. Lineage: Eukaryota; Haptophyta; Prymnesiales; Prymnesiaceae. The record is from RNAcentral.